Molecule: ribosomal RNA, 379 nt
Filed under: uncultured eukaryote
Lineage: Eukaryota
Description: partial 18S ribosomal RNA
Rfam family: Eukaryotic small subunit ribosomal RNA
Source: RNAcentral
CAAUAGCGUAUAUUUAAGUUGUUGCAGUUAAAAAGCUCGUAGUUGGAUUUCGGAUGGGACUUGCCGGUCCGUCGUUUCGAUGUGCACUGGCCAGUCCUAUCUUGUUGUCGGGGACUAGCUCCUGGGCUUCACUGUCCGGGACUAGGAGCUGACGAGGUUACUUUGAGUAAAGUAGAGUGUUCAAAGCAAGCCUACGCUCUGAAUACAUUAGCAUGGAAUAACACGAUAGGACUCUGGCUUAUCUUGUUGGUCUGUGAGACCAGAGUAAUGAUUAAGAGGGACAGUCGGGGGCAUUCGUAUUUCAUUGUCAGAGGUGAAAUUCUUGGAUUUAUGAAAGACGAACUUCUGCGAAAGCAUUUGUCAAGGAUGUUUUCAUUAA